GGGAGAAGUGACGGCCGGAGACGAGCAGAGGGAUCUGAAACGGUCUCAAUCGAAACCGCCAAUAUAUACAAAGUCGAAUGUCAACGCCGGAUGCGGGAACACGGAAUGGGGUUGAAUGGCGUGGAAGGGGCGUACGUCAGCGCGGAGCGUGGAAAGUGGAGAAUUCUCGCGAUGCGGCCACGCCGCCACAGAAGGAAGUGUUAAGGAAACGUCCUCUCCUCCCCCUCGCGUGAGGAGAACACGAUGUGCACAACUGCGUCGAGUGGCCGUUGCGCGGCAGUGCAAGGACGCGGCCUGGCUGCAUCCAGGACGCGGACGAGUCUUGCUUCCUACGGUGGAGGGACAUCCAGGACGGAAACAGGCCGCCGGUCCGGAACCGAGACUGCGAAGGAGCCGCCAGGAGCAGGACGCACGGGCUGGGGCCCCGCCGGACUCUGUAGCGGAGAGUCUCACCGCGCGCCGGCACCACCCAGGGGCUGGAGGGCAGAG
Talpa occidentalis (Iberian mole) is the source of this 489-nucleotide long non-coding RNA. RefSeq lists it as uncharacterized. The record is from RefSeq and is a predicted model, not a curated record. Lineage: Eukaryota; Metazoa; Chordata; Mammalia; Eulipotyphla; Talpidae. The transcript is spliced from 3 exons.